UUGGUUCAGUGGUAGAAUGCUCGCCUGCCACGCGGGCGCCCCGGGUUCGAUUCCUGGCCCAU
This 62-nucleotide transfer RNA is filed under the name Cordylochernes scorpioides. RNAcentral's name for it is "tRNA-Gly". It matches the Rfam family "tRNA", at positions 8 to 63 of the family's 71-position model. Rfam says of the family: Transfer RNA (tRNA) molecules are approximately 80 nucleotides in length. Lineage: Eukaryota; Metazoa; Arthropoda; Arachnida; Pseudoscorpiones; Chernetidae. The record is from RNAcentral.